AGAAAGCUCCGGGGAUCCUGCCUAGAAGGGAGCUGGGCCAAAAGAUUGGGUUAAAAGGGGGUGGGAGGGGUAAUCCGUUUGAUCCAACUUCAAAUCCCACCACUGACUCCUUUGAACAAGGGCUAUCAAAGGAAGCCCUCUCCCAGCGAGCUGUGUGAAAUUGGAGACUCCACUUACCUUCUGCCUCUUAAAAUUAGGCAAGCCCUCCACACAGCAAGAGAGUAAGUGGCAAGCGUGCGGACAGCUCUUUCUGAGCUGGAUGAUUUAGUGAAGCAGCUGUGGGGGAUACAGGAGGGGGGAUUUAAAAGAAGGACCCAGUGGACUGAGGGAGGACUAUUCACCCCCUGUUUGUAAUGCUGGUUAUUACUUUCUUGCCUAUGGUGUUAUCGAGACUGAGAACCUCAGCCCAUUUUGUGGUCAUAAACCAGAAACUUGGAGAAAGUACCCAGUAUGUUUGCAGGUGGGACUUCUUGUAAAAGACACUUGGUAGCCCGUAGUCUGAAAGGCAGGACAAAGCAAAUCACGUAGGAUGAAAUUAGAGCCAACUCUUCCCUCCCAGUCCUCUGAAAGUUUGCAGAGAAAUGACAACAUAUGUCAGACAAGUAUAAAUCAGAGGAGAAAAAAAAUAAGACCAUGGAUGAAAACUGUGACUCUGAAGCAGAGUUUAUUUGGCAUCAACACUAGUGUUUACUGGGUGACCAUAUGGUUGCAUGAAUAAGAGCUUUAAUAUUAGAUAAAUCUGUUUGAGUUUCAGCUUCACCAGUAUCUUCAUAAGACCUUAGACAAAUUCACACCUAUCAUCCUAUUACUUUGGAAGGCCAA
Long non-coding RNA from Sapajus apella (tufted capuchin), 822 nucleotides. RefSeq lists it as uncharacterized. Lineage: Eukaryota; Metazoa; Chordata; Mammalia; Primates; Cebidae. The transcript has 3 exons. The record is from RefSeq and is a predicted model, not a curated record.